Carya illinoinensis is the source of this 722-nucleotide long non-coding RNA. RefSeq lists it as uncharacterized. The transcript has 3 exons. Lineage: Eukaryota; Viridiplantae; Streptophyta; Magnoliopsida; Fagales; Juglandaceae. The record is from RefSeq and is a predicted model, not a curated record.
UUAAAAUAGCCCAAGUCUUUAUUCUCCUUUUCAACCCGUCUGCUACUUCAAUAAGGAAGAAAACCUCUUAUUCCACCAAACCAAACCAAGUGUCCUCUCUUCUUCUCCUUCUCAUCUUCAAGAUCAAAGAAAACCAUAGCUUUCUCUUCACUUCCUAGUGCCGUGCGACUUACAAGAAAAGGAGUAAACUGUUUUCUUCUUCCCCCAAGUCGUGCCUUACCCCUCUUCCAUACCCAUUUUUGGGUUGUUCCUAGCUGGAAAUUCAAAGCAUAUUUUCAUCUUCUAAAUGAUGAAACCUGGAAACCAAGGUUUUAUGUUUCUCUAGUCCAUUAAGCCGAAAUCACCUCUUCCAUUCAUCAUUUUCGUGUUUUGGAAGGGAUUCAUCAAAGGUAAUGACGAAAAGGCUGGGGAGCAGGGCAUUACUGCAGAGAAGGAGGCAAACAUUUAGUGUCUUUCCUGUUGGUUUGACCUUACAUGGAUGAUAAUUUAUGUUUAUGAAUGUUAUUUUUAUGUUGGGAUGGGUCCUUUGUCAGGUUUGACUUUAAAUCAUGUAUCUUUUGGUAGAGUGUAACCGUUAUGGUAGGGCAAUGGUAAACCCUUAUAAAUUGACUUAGUGCCUUCUUGUACAUAUGGUAGAGAUGGAGUCCCUUCCUAACUAGAGCAGUUAUGUUUUUAUGAACGUAUGAUAGACUCUGAGAGUCUGUUUAUGGAGGAAUGUUAAA